Molecule: ribosomal RNA, 429 nt
Filed under: Fusobacteriota bacterium
Lineage: Bacteria; Fusobacteriati; Fusobacteriota
Description: Fusobacteria bacterium partial 16S ribosomal RNA
Rfam family: Bacterial small subunit ribosomal RNA
Source: RNAcentral
UGGGGAAUUUUGGACAAUGGGGGCAACCCUGAUCCAGCCAUUCCGCGUGAGUGAAGAAGGCCUUCGGGUUGUAAAGCUCUUUCAGCUGGAACGAAACGGUACGCGCUAACAUCGUGUGCUAAUGACGGUACCAGCAGAAGAAGCACCGGCUAACUACGUGCCAGCAGCCGCGGUAAUACGUAGGGUGCGAGCGUUAAUCGGAAUUACUGGGCGUAAAGCGUGCGCAGGCGGAUUGUUAAGCAAGACGUGAAAUCCCCGGGCUUAACCUGGGAAUGGCGUUUUGAACUGGCAGUCUAGAGUGCGUCAGAGGGGGGUGGAAUUCCACGUGUAGCAGUGAAAUGCGUAGAGAUGUGGAGGAACACCGAUGGCGAAGGCAGCCCCCUGGGAUGACACUGACGCUCAUGUACGAAAGCGUGGGUAGCGAACAGG